This 42-nucleotide ribosomal RNA is filed under the name Fusarium sp. JMSR-2013. Its description in RNAcentral is "partial 28S ribosomal RNA". The record is from RNAcentral. Lineage: Eukaryota; Fungi; Ascomycota; Sordariomycetes; Hypocreales; Nectriaceae.
UUGACCUCGAAUCAGGUAGGAAUACCCGCUGAACUUAACAUA